GUGAGCUCCAACCGGUAUCGGCUAUAUCCUACAAAGAAAAGAUGAAGAAGCCCCAUGACCUAAAAAUUGAAAAACGAGAGUUUAUGGUUGGGGAUUUUGUGCUUUUAUACAAUUCUAGGUUGAGUUUGUUUCAGGGCAAGCUCAAGUCCAAAUGGACUGGCCCUUACUUGAUUACCCAACUAUUCCCUCUUGGAGCAGUUGAGUUAGAAUCCAAGGAGAGUGUGUGGUUUAAGGUGAAUGGAC
RNAcentral lists this unclassified non-coding RNA (243 nucleotides) under Hevea brasiliensis (rubber tree). The record is from RNAcentral. Lineage: Eukaryota; Viridiplantae; Streptophyta; Magnoliopsida; Malpighiales; Euphorbiaceae.